GAUGAACGCUGGCGGCGUGCCUAAUACAUGCAAGUCGAGCGAACAGAUGAGGAGCUUGCUCCUCUGACGUUAGCGGCGGACGGGUGAGUAACACGUGGAUAACCUACCUAUAAGACUGGGAUAACUUCGGGAAACCGGAGCUAAUACCGGAUAAUAUAUUGAACCGCAUGGUUCAAUAGUGAAAGACGGUUUUGCUGUCACUUAUAGAUGGAUCCGCGCCGCAUUAGCUAGUUGGUAAGGUAACGGCUUACCAAGGCAACGAUGCGUAGCCGACCUGAGAGGGUGAUCGGCCACACUGGAACUGAGACACGGUCCAGACUCCUACGGGAGGCAGCAGUAGGGAAUCUUCCGCAAAGGGCGAAAGCCUGACGGAGCAACGCCGCGUGAGUGAUGAAGGUCUUCUGAUCGUAAAACUCUGUUAUUAGGGAAGAACAAAUGUGUAAGUAACUAUGCACGUCUUGACGGUACCUAAUCAGAAAGCCACGGCUAAGUACGUG
Molecule: ribosomal RNA, 497 nt
Filed under: uncultured bacterium
Lineage: Bacteria
Description: partial 16S ribosomal RNA
Rfam family: Bacterial small subunit ribosomal RNA
Source: RNAcentral